Long non-coding RNA from Homo sapiens (human), 767 nucleotides. Ensembl annotates it as long intergenic non-protein coding RNA 2863. NCBI's taxonomy places the organism in Eukaryota, Metazoa, Chordata, Mammalia, Primates, Hominidae. The record is from Ensembl.
CCACAGACCACUUCCUCUGCUCCCCAGCGCCGGAUGGAUGCAGAUCUGUGAGUAAGGAGCCAGCUGCAGGCAAGCAGCUCGAGGGCAGGUGGGCAUGAUGUCUGGCUACCACUCGCACUGGACGCCACACACACAGCCAGGGUGGCAGAAGGCCCCACCUGCCAUGUGCCAGUGGGACACCACCCUCAUGGUCUGCGUUUCCAGGUUUCCAACUAAGGACUGAGCACACUCUCAACAUGGACCUCCUAACUGCUCUCGAGGAUGGACAGCUGGCCUCAAGGGAACACUGCAAAGUGGCUCUAGGAAGAAGCCACUGUCCCUCCAGACCAUAAAAAUGGCUACCAAGGGCAGAGCCAGCAGCUUUCGCUGUAAAGUUUCUCAAGAAAAUCACAGAUAUUCCCCUCUGUGAUGUUCAGCUCAGCCUGGAAAGGAGGCCGCUGGAAGACCUGGAUGCCCGUCGUGGGACAAGAGCCAGAAGCACUCACCCAGUGCCAACACCUGCUGGGCCACAAACAGUUUCUGCUUGGGAUCCCAACACAGGCAGCAGAGUCAGCAAAAACUCUAAGAUAUCAAGAAGUCAAGCAUUUCUUAACAACAGCAGCAAACUCUUACACAGGGCUGUGGUUACCAGACACUGCUCUAAAUAACUUACACUUGUUUACUUAUUUCAUCCUCACAACAACGGGUAAAUAUUUUAGGUCUCUGCCAAUUUGCCUGAUUACUGAAUUAGGUUGAAUCAUUAAAAUGAAUAACUUGAUAAUACCCAA